AGAACGAACGCUGGCGGCGUGGAUAAGACAUGCAAGUCGAACGACGAUUAUGGGGUAGCAAUAUUCUAUGAUUUGAGUGGCGUAAGGGUGCGUAACACGUGGGCAAUCUACCGUAAAACUGGGGAUAACUCGCUGAAAGGCGAGCUAAUACCGAAUGUGAUCCAGGGGAGCAUCUCGCUUGGAUUAAAGCUGGGGACCGCAAGGCCGGCGCUUUACGUAUGAGCCUCGCGGCCUAUCAGCUAGUUGGGUGGGUAACGGGCUCACCAAGGCUAAGACGGGUAGCUGGUCGUGAGAGGACGACCAGCCACACUGGAACUGAGACACGGUCCACGACACCGUACGGGUGGCAGCAGUCGAGAAUUUUUCUC
This 368-nucleotide ribosomal RNA is filed under the name uncultured soil bacterium. RNAcentral describes it as "bacterial SSU rRNA". It matches the Rfam family "Bacterial small subunit ribosomal RNA", at positions 26 to 369 of the family's 1533-position model. The record is from RNAcentral.